UAUCAUUUUUCUGUCCUUUCAAUCUUUGUGUUUUUUUGAGUUAAUAUUAGCUGUAGUGAAGAUUGCAGGACAAAAAAUUAUCUAGGUUUUGCACUCUCUCAAUUUUAAGCAUUUCCAUGCUGAAGCGGAAGCAAGAUCGAGUGCACUCACACACCCACAAACAGAAAUUAAAUAAAGAGACAAAGAUUUACGUAGUUCGGAGAGAAGAAAUUUCCUUACCUCCACGAGUGGUAGACAAUCAUUAUAACCAAAGUGUUUACAAGCAUAUCUCUCACACUCUCGCACUCUAAAGUCUUUAAACAAAGUUCCUCCCAAUUGUCUCAAAGCAAAUACAAAAUGGCAAUGACUACAUAUCUAACCCAAAUGCCACUGGACAAAUAUAAAAUGACAAUGACUUCACACCUCAAAACAAUGCUAGACAAGCCUUUAUAUAGGCAUAACUAUACUAAUUCUCAUACAUGAACCAAAUAAAUGAGAACAUGAAACAAAAUGGUUAUGAACUAAAUGAGAGUUAAUAACCAAAAUAAAUGAGAAUAUGAA
Cucurbita maxima (winter squash) is the source of this 540-nucleotide long non-coding RNA. RefSeq lists it as uncharacterized. Lineage: Eukaryota; Viridiplantae; Streptophyta; Magnoliopsida; Cucurbitales; Cucurbitaceae. The record is from RefSeq and is a predicted model, not a curated record. The transcript has 2 exons.